Molecule: ribosomal RNA, 377 nt
Filed under: uncultured bacterium
Lineage: Bacteria
Description: bacterial SSU rRNA
Rfam family: Bacterial small subunit ribosomal RNA
Source: RNAcentral
UAAGACGAAGGUGGCGAGCGUUACUCGGAAUUACUAGGCGUAAAGCGUGGGCAGGCGGUUCGGUUAGUCUGUUGUGAAAGCCCCGGGCUCAACCCGGGGAGGCCAAUGGAUACUGCCGGACUUGAAUGUGAGAGAGGUGACUGGAAUUCCCGGUGUAGCGGUGAAAUGCGUAGAGAUCGGGAGGAACACCAAUGGCGAAAGCAGGUCACUGGAUCACUAUUGACGCUCAUCCACGAAAGCUGGGGGAUCAAACAGGAUUAGAUACCCUGGUAGUCCCAGCCAUAAACGAUGCUCAUUAGGUAUGGGAGGUAUCGACCCCUCCCGUGCCGACGCUAACGCAUUAAAUGAGCCGCCUGGGGAGUACGGCCGCAAGGUUG